UAGGAGGCUCUAUUAUGAAUACUGGUC
RNAcentral lists this non-coding RNA (27 nucleotides) under Mus musculus (house mouse). The record is from RNAcentral. Lineage: Eukaryota; Metazoa; Chordata; Mammalia; Rodentia; Muridae.